Molecule: ribosomal RNA, 406 nt
Filed under: uncultured bacterium
Lineage: Bacteria
Description: partial 16S ribosomal RNA
Rfam family: Bacterial small subunit ribosomal RNA
Source: RNAcentral
AUUGAACGCUGGCGGCAGGCCUAACACAUGCAAGUCGAACGAGUGGCGGACGGGUGAGUAAUGUCUGGGAAACUGCCUGAUGGAGGGGGAUAACUACUGGAAAAGGUAGCGAAUACCGCAUACCAUCGGAUGUGCACAGAUGGGAUGAGCUAGUAGGUGGGGUAAAGGCUACCCUAGGCGACGAUCCCUAGCUGGUCUGAGAGGAUGACCAGCCCCACUGGAACUGAGACACGGUCCAGACUCCUACGUGAGGCAGCAGUGUGGAAUAUUGCACAAUGGGCGCAAGCCUGAUGCAGCCAUGCCGCGUGUAUGAAGAAGGCCUUCGGGUUGUAAAGUACUUUCAGCGGGGAGGCGUUACCCGCAGAAGAAGCACCGGCUAACUCCGUGCCAGCCGCCGCGGUAAUAC